Molecule: ribosomal RNA, 809 nt
Filed under: uncultured organism
Description: bacterial SSU rRNA
Rfam family: Bacterial small subunit ribosomal RNA
Source: RNAcentral
GAUGAACGUUGGCGGCGUGCCUAAGGUAUGCAUGUCGAACGAUUCCUUUGCUUUUGAGACUUCGGUCGAUAGAGCGCUUGGAAAUAGUGGCGAACGGGUGAGUAAUGCAUAGGUAACCUACCUCAAAGACGGAAAUAGCUCGCCGAAAGGCUAGGUAAUAUCCGAUGGUCCAAGUUGCCGUAAAGGUUUACUUGGUAAAACUACGGUGCUUUGAGAAGGGCUUAUGUCCUAUCAGCUUGUUGGUGAGGUAAAGGCUCACCAAGGCUAAGACGGGUAGCUGGCGUGAGAGCGCGGACAGCCACAGUGGAACUGCGACACGGUCCACACUCCUACGGGAGGCAGCAAUUAGGAAUCUUGCGCAAUGGGGGCAACCCUGACGCAGCGACGCCGCGUGGAGGAGGAAGGUCUUCGGAUUGUAAACUCCUUUUAUGUGGGAAGAAUAAAUGACUGUACCACACGAAUAAGUACCCGCUAACUACGUGCCAGAAGCAUCGGUGAUACGUAGGGUACAAACGUUAUCCGGAUUUAUUGGGCGUAAAGAGAUGCGUAGGCGUUUUGAAAAGUCUUAUGUCAAAUCCCUCUGCUCAACAGAGGACAGGCAUCGGAUACUAUCAGGAUUGAGAGAGGAAGGGGUGAGCGGAAUUUCCGGUGGAGCGGUAAAAUGCGUUGAUAUCGGAAGGAACACCAGAGGCGUAGGCGGCUCACUGGUCCUUUUCUGACGCUAAGGCUCGAAAGCAUGGGGAGCAAAACGGAUUAGAUACCCGUGUAGUCCAUGCUGUAAACGAUGAAUGCUAGGUGUUUGACACAAC